This is a small nuclear RNA of Wallemia sebi, 142 nucleotides long. It matches the Rfam family "U4 spliceosomal RNA". Rfam says of the family: U4 small nuclear RNA (U4 snRNA) is a component of the major U2-dependent spliceosome. NCBI's taxonomy places the organism in Eukaryota, Fungi, Basidiomycota, Wallemiomycetes, Wallemiales, Wallemiaceae. The record is from Rfam.
AUCCUUUUGCUCGGACUAGAACUCAUGGCGUUGAGGUGAAAACCGAGCCUGAGUACGUUGCUGGUUGAAAUCUAAUCCAACUACGCGUGCUGUACGUCCUCUGGACUGCAGCCAAUUUUUGACCAUCCACGUCGCACUUGUG